RNAcentral lists this transfer RNA (72 nucleotides) under Camelus bactrianus (Bactrian camel). It matches the Rfam family "tRNA". Rfam says of the family: Transfer RNA (tRNA) molecules are approximately 80 nucleotides in length. Their secondary structure includes four short double-helical elements and three loops (D, anti-codon, and T loops). The record is from Rfam by way of RNAcentral. Lineage: Eukaryota; Metazoa; Chordata; Mammalia; Artiodactyla; Camelidae. RNAcentral also lists the same sequence under 1 other name.
AAGGGUAUAGCUCAAGUGGUAGAGCACACGCUUAGCAUGCGCGAGGUCCUGGGUUCUACCCCAGUACCUCCU